GAGAUCGUGACCUGAGCUGAAGUCGGUCGCUUAACUGACCGAGUCACCCAGGCGCCCCAGGAUUCUUUUUUCUUACUGGAAUUUUUACCCAUCAGCUGGAUGACAGUGUUCAGAUGUUGGGGAGGAAGAAUUUCCUCUGCCAUUCAAGGUCCUCCUGGUUGAACUAAGAAUCAAGUUGACACGAGGCAGAUGAGCAUGAGAAAAUCACGUUUACUUUACUACGUACGGGGAACCCACACAGACACGGAAAUUCCAACGACAGGCAAAAUGAGAGUCGAGAACCUAAGCGUUUCCAAGAACUGUGUGUAUGGGCUUUUAUUGACCAGGAAUGGCCCCUUCAUAUCCUAUGUCGUCAAAUCCAAGAUGCUUUUCAAGGUCAACUCACUCAAUCACUCUUACUGGGUGAAGACUUGCAAAUCAAUCAGAGCAUUAAGUGGAUCUCCAGAAGUUUCACAGCAAUUUAGAAAUGAAACCAAGAUUUAAUACCAGCCUGCUUAAAAAGGUGCCAUGUCGAUGAUGCACACCGUGCAGCAGAUGGGAAAAAUCCUCAUGCAACUUAACAACAUGCUCACGUUUUCCUGUAGUUCUGCCGAAACACAACUUUGUGAGAGCUCCCUCCGUUACCGCCAAGGCAGCCAGGUAAUGAAGGAGUCAGAAAGUGGACAGAAGCUGCCAGCAAGUUGUACCUGCCUGAGAAUGGAAUUGGCAACCAUGAAGCCUUUCAACAGGGUUUGGUUGUCCCAAGAACCGUGACGUUUGCAACCAUUUUGGAAUGGGUCGUGGCCUCGGGAAGGAGCUUAAAGAAAAUCACUUUGCCCGAAUUCCACGUGAAAAUGGCACGAUGAUUACUUUUUCUUCCUGUCCCUGCAAACACUUGGUGCUUGGCUAAAUGAAAAUAAAGGACAGAUAAGCUCACAGCUCAACAUUAUUGUCCUCUGCAUACAAAGUUCCACAUUCCAGGAUUGGAUUCCACAGGAAAAUGUGCUCGACGGUCAGAACCCUUGCUACUUUAUCCUAACUGUGGUGAAGAUCUGGAAAGGAGUCUUGGUCACUGACCCAACAGUCAACAGAGAGACACCGUGCCAUAUGGUUAGACUCUGUGCAUCAUAGACUGAAGUCAGAGAAAGCUUGCCAAGUCCUGAUGCAGAAGAUUGUUGAGUAAAAAACAUCAUUCCCAGCACCGCCAAGCAUGCGCUAAUCUCUUCUCUGCGUCUUCCAAAUCGUAGCUCCAGAUGUUGUCCCUGAUUCAUGGGGUGUUCACGAAAGCUGGCAAGGCCACCGACAAAUGUGUUACACAUUGACUAAUCCACUCAGAUAGCAUAAAAGCCAACACGAUACGUAAAGUUCUCGGAGUGCAAACUUCAACGUCGCUGUCUUACACCCAGGCUGACAGCAAGGUUUAAAAACCAGGAGGACUUGAUGAAUUCCAGUCGGGUCCUUUGUUAAUGGACUACAUCUAACGCAGCAGGUCCCGCGAGCUCGCGAUCACUUUAUAUUCUGUUCAGCAGAAAGAAAAGAACAUUCUGUAUUCAGCAUUACUCUUCCUGCAAAUGUAAUUGUGCCUCCAACAUGUAAGUGAGGUUUCGGGCUUGUAAAAUGUGGCGUGCAUUAAAACUAGCAUUUAGUGGAACUGGGUAUGGUGUGGUUUCAAUAAAAAUACAUGAAUUUGUCUCAAUUA
Molecule: long non-coding RNA, 1678 nt
Organism: Herpailurus yagouaroundi (jaguarundi)
Lineage: Eukaryota; Metazoa; Chordata; Mammalia; Carnivora; Felidae
Exons: 12
Source: RefSeq, a predicted model, not a curated record